AGGCUUCGCCGUCAUCGAGGCCAUUUCCAGCGACUCGUCGCACGCUUUUCUAUAUACUUCGUUCCCCGCCAACCGCAACCAUUGACGCCAUGUCGGGUUAUUCGAGUGACCGAGACCGCGGCCGGGACCGAGGGUUUGGUGCACCUCGAUUUGGAGGAAGUAGGGCAGGGCCCUUAUCUGGAAAGAAGUUUGGAAACCCUGGGGAGAAAUUAGUUAAAAAGAAGUGGAAUCUUGAUGAGCUGCCUAAAUUUGAGAAGAAUUUUUAUCAAGAGCACCCUGAUUUGGCUAGGCGCACAGCACAAGAGGUGGAAACAUAUAGAAGAAGCAAGGAAAUUACAGUUAGAGGUCACAACUGCCCGAAGCCAGUUCUUAAUUUUUAUGAAGCCAAUUUCCCUGCAAAUGUCAUGGAUGUUAUUGCAAGACAGAAUUUCACUGAACCCACUGCUAUUCAAGCUCAGGGAUGGCCAGUUGCUCUAAGUGGAUUGGAUAUGGUUGGAGUGGCACAGACUGGAUCUGGGAAAACAUUGUCUUAUUUGCUUCCUGCCAUUGUCCAUAUCAACCAUCAGCCAUUCCUAGAGAGAGGUGAUGGGCCUAUUUGUUUGGUGCUGGCACCAACUCGGGAACUGGCCCAACAGGUGCAGCAAGUAGCUGCUGAAUAUUGUAGAGCAUGUCGCUUGAAGUCUACUUGUAUCUACGGUGGUGCUCCUAAGGGACCACAAAUACGUGAUUUGGAGAGAGGUGUGGAAAUCUGUAUUGCAACACCUGGAAGACUGAUUGACUUUUUAGAGUGUGGAAAAACCAAUCUGAGAAGAACAACCUACCUUGUCCUUGAUGAAGCAGAUAGAAUGCUUGAUAUGGGCUUUGAACCCCAAAUAAGGAAGAUUGUGGAUCAAAUAAGACCUGAUAGGCAAACUCUAAUGUGGAGUGCGACUUGGCCAAAAGAAGUAAGACAGCUUGCUGAAGAUUUCCUGAAAGACUAUAUUCAUAUAAACAUUGGUGCACUUGAACUGAGUGCAAACCACAACAUUCUUCAGAUUGUGGAUGUGUGUCAUGACGUAGAAAAGGAUGAAAAACUUAUUCGUCUAAUGGAAGAGAUCAUGAGUGAGAAGGAGAAUAAAACCAUUGUUUUUGUGGAAACCAAAAGAAGAUGUGAUGAGCUUACCAGAAAAAUGAGGAGAGAUGGGUGGCCUGCCAUGGGUAUCCAUGGUGACAAGAGUCAACAAGAGCGUGACUGGGUUCUAAAUGAAUUCAAACAUGGAAAAGCUCCUAUUCUGAUUGCUACAGAUGUGGCCUCCAGAGGGCUAGCCCGUACCUUCUUGGGAAUACAAUUGUCUAACUUUUUAUUUUUGGUCUGGCUGUUGUGGUGUGCAAAACUCCGUACAUUGCUAUUUUGCCACACUGCAACACCUUACAGAUGUGGAAGAUGUGAAAUUUGUCAUCAAUUAUGACUACCCUAACUCCUCAGAGGAUUAUAUUCAUCGAAUUGGAAGAACUGCUCGCAGUACCAAAACAGGCACAGCAUACACUUUCUUUACACCUAAUAACAUAAAGCAAGUGAGCGACCUUAUCUCUGUGCUUCGUGAAGCUAAUCAAGCAAUUAAUCCCAAGUUGCUUCAGUUGGUCGAAGACAGAGGUUCAGGUCGUUCCAGGGGUAGAGGAGGCAUGAAGGAUGACCGUCGGGACAGAUACUCUGCGGGCAAAAGGGGUGGAUUUAAUACCUUUAGAGACAGGGAAAAUUAUGACAGAGGUUACUCUAGCCUGCUUAAAAGAGAUUUUGGGGCAAAAACUCAGAAUGGUGUUUACAGUGCUGCAAAUUACACCAAUGGGAGCUUUGGAAGUAAUUUUGUGUCUGCUGGUAUACAGACCAGUUUUAGGACUGGUAAUCCAACAGGGACUUACCAGAAUGGUUAUGAUAGCACUCAGCAAUACGGAAGUAAUGUUCCAAAUAUGCACAAUGGUAUGAACCAACAGGCAUAUGCAUAUCCUGCUACUGCAGCUGCACCUAUGAUUGGUUAUCCAAUGCCAACAGGAUAUUCCCAAUAAGACUUUAGAAGUAUAUGUAAAUGUCUGUUUUUCAUAAUUGCUCUUUAUAUUGUGUGUUAUCUGACAAGAUAGUUAUUUAAGAAACAUGGGAAUUGCAGAAAUGACUGCAGUGCAGCAGUAAUUAUGGUGCACUUUUUCGCUAUUUAAGUUGGAUAUUUCUCUACAUUCCUGAAACAAUUUUUAGGUUUUUUUUGUACUAGAAAAUGCAGGCAGUGUUUUCACAAAAGUAAAUGUACAGUGAUUUGAAAUACAAUAAAUGAAGGCAAUGCAUGGCCUUCCAAUAAAAAAUAUUUGAAGACUGAA
Molecule: RNA transcript, 2346 nt
Organism: Pan troglodytes (chimpanzee)
Lineage: Eukaryota; Metazoa; Chordata; Mammalia; Primates; Hominidae
Gene: DDX5
Gene name: DEAD-box helicase 5
Exons: 13
Source: RefSeq, marked provisional